Molecule: non-coding RNA, 108 nt
Organism: Acanthosepion pharaonis
Lineage: Eukaryota; Metazoa; Mollusca; Cephalopoda; Sepiida; Sepiidae
Source: the annotation of a GenBank genome assembly
UAUGUCCAUAUCAUGUUGAGACACAAGUUCUCAUAUAAUCACAGAAGUUAAGCAACGUUGAGCCUGAUCAGUACUUACAUGGGUGGCUGCUUGGGAAUACCAGGUGCU